UGCUGGAGGUAUCAGAAGUGCGAAUGCUGACAUAAGUAACGAUAAAGCGGGUGAAAAGCCCGCUCGCCGGAAGACCAAGGGUUCCUGUCCAACGUUAAUCGGGGCAGGGUGAGUCGACCCCUAAGGCGAGGCCGAAAGGCGUAGUCGAUGGGAAACGGGUUAAUAUUCCCGUACUUGGUGUUACUGCGAAGGGGGGACGGAGAAGGCUAUGUUGGCCGGGCGACGGUUGUCCCGGUUUAAGCGUGUAGGUGUGUGUUCCAGGUAAAUCCGGUUCACUUUAACACUGAGGCGUGANGACGAGGCACUACGGUGCUGAAGCAACAAAUGCCCUGCUUCCAGGAAAAGCCUCUAAGCAUCAGGUAACANGAAAUCGUACCCCAAACCGACACAGGUGGUCAGGUAGAGAAUACCAAGGCGCUUGAGAGAACUCGGGUGAAGGAACUAGGCAAAAUGGUGCCGUAACUUCGGGAGAAGGCACGCUGACACGUAGGUGAAGUGAUUUACUCAUGGAGCUGAAGUCAGUCGAAGAUACCAGCUGGCUGCAACUGUUUAUUAAAAACACAGCACUGUGCAAACACGAAAGUGGACGUAUACGGUGUGACGCCUGCCCGGUGCCGGAAGGUUAAUUGAUGGGGUCAGCGNAAGCGAAGCUCCUGAUCGAAGCCCCGGUAAACGGCGGCCGUAACUAUAACGGUCCUAAGGUAGCGAAAUUCCUUGUCGGGUAAGUUCCGACCUGCACGAAUGGCGUAAUGAUGGCCAGGCUGUCUCCACCCGAGACUCAGUGAAAUUGAACUCGCUGUGAAGAUGCAGUGUACCCGCGGCAAGACGGAAAGACCCCGUGAACCUUUACUAUAGCUUGACACUGAACAUUGAGCCUUGAUGUGUAGGAUAGGUGGGAGGCUUUGAAGUGUGGACGCCAGUCUGCAUGGAGCCGACCUUGAAAUACCACCCUUUAAUGUUUGAUGUUCUAACGUGGACCCGUAAUCCGGGUUGCGGACAGUGUCUGGUGGGUAGUUUGACUGGGGCGGUCUCCUCCUAAAGAGUAACGGAGGAGCACGAAGGUUGGCUAAUCCUGGUCGGACAUCAGGAGGUUAGUGCAAUGGCAUAAGCCAGCUUGACUGCGAGCGUGACGGCGCGAGCAGGUGCGAAAGCAGGUCAUAGUGAUCCGGUGGUUCUGAAUGGAAGGGCCAUCGCUCAACGGAUAAAAGGUACUCCGGGGAUAACAGGCUGAUACCGCCCAAGAGUUCAUAUCGACGGCGGUGUUUGGCACCUCGAUGUCGGCUCAUCACAUCCUGGGGCUGAAGUAGGUCCCAAGGGUAUGGCUGUUCGCCAUUUAAAGUGGUACGCGAGCUGGGUUUAGAACGUCGUGAGACAGUUCGGUCCCUAUCUGCCGUGGGCGCUGGAGAACUGAGGGGGGCUGCUCCUAGUACGAGAGGACCGGAGUGGACGCAUCACUGGUGUUCGGGUUGUCAUGCCAAUGGCACUGCCCGGUAGCUAAAUGCGGAAGAGAUAAGUGCUGAAAGCAUCUAAGCACGAAACUUGCCCCGAGAUGAGUUCUCCCUGAGACUUAGAGUCUCCUGAAGGAACGUUGAAGACGACGACGUUGAUAGGCCGGGUGUGUAAGCGCAGCGAUGCGUUGAGCUAACCGGUACUAAUGAACCGUGAGGCUUAACCUUACAACGCCGAAG
Molecule: ribosomal RNA, 1688 nt
Filed under: Salmonella enterica subsp. enterica serovar Typhimurium str. STm5
Lineage: Bacteria; Pseudomonadati; Pseudomonadota; Gammaproteobacteria; Enterobacterales; Enterobacteriaceae
Description: bacterial LSU rRNA
Rfam family: Bacterial large subunit ribosomal RNA
Source: RNAcentral